UAGAAACCUCUGAGGUGGAUU
RNAcentral lists this microRNA (21 nucleotides) under Cavia porcellus (domestic guinea pig). RNAcentral describes it as "cpo-miR-509c-3p". Its record names the gene cpo-miR-509c-3p. Lineage: Eukaryota; Metazoa; Chordata; Mammalia; Rodentia; Caviidae. The record is from miRBase by way of RNAcentral.